CCUACGGGUGGCAGCAGUGAGGGAUAUUGGUCAAUGGACGAAACUCUGAACCAGCAACGCCGCGUGAAGGAAGACGGUUUUCGGAUUGUUAAACUCUGUCCUCUGUGAAGUUAAUGACGGUAGCAGAGGAGGAAGCUCCGUCUAACUACGUUCCAGCAGCCGCGGUAAUACGUAGGGAGCCAGCGUUGUCCGGAUUUACUGGGUGUAAAGGGUGCGUAGGCGGCCCUGCAAGUCAGAAGUGAAAUCCAUGGGCUUAACCCGUGAACUGCUGUUGAAACUGUAGGGCUUGAGUGAAGUAGAGGCAGGCGGAAUUCGCGGUGUAGCGGUGAAAUGCGUAGAGAUCGGGAAGAACACCAGUGGCGAAGGCGGCUUGCUGGGCUUUAACUGACGCUGAAGCACGAAAGCGUGGGUAGCAAACAGGAUUAGAUACCCUGGUAGUC
RNAcentral lists this ribosomal RNA (440 nucleotides) under uncultured bacterium. RNAcentral's name for it is "partial 16S ribosomal RNA". It matches the Rfam family "Bacterial small subunit ribosomal RNA", at positions 338 to 795 of the family's 1533-position model. The record is from RNAcentral.